CAACGCUGGCGGCGUGCCUCAGACAUGCAAGUCGAACGAUUAAAGCUCUCUUCGGAGAGUGCAUAAAGUGGCGCACGGGUGAGUAACACGUAAGUAAUCUACCUUCGAGUGGGGAAUAACGUUCGGAAACGAACGCUAAUACCGCAUAAUGCAGCGGCAUCUAUGAUGACAGUUGUUAAAGAUUUAUCGCUUGAAGAGGAGCUUGCGGCAGAUUAGCUUGUUGGUAGGGUAACGGCCUACCAAGGCGACGAUCUGUAUCCGGUCUAAGAGGACGGUCGGACACACUGACACUGAAUAACGGGUCAGACUCCUACGGGAGGCAGCAGUCGGGAAUUUUGGGCAAUGGGCGAAAGCCUGACCCAGCAACGCCGCGUGAAGGAUGAAGUUUUUCGGAAUGUAAACUUCGUAAGAAUGGGAAGAAUAAAUGACGGUACCAUUUGUAAGGUCCGGCUAACUACGUGCCAGCAGCCGCGGUAAUACGUAGGGACCAAGCGUUGUUCGGAUUUACUGGGCGUAAAGGGCGCGUAGGCGGCAAUUCAAGUCAGCUGUGAAAUCUCCGGGCUUAACUCGGAACGGUCAGCUGAUACUGCUUUGCUAGAGUGCAGAAAGGGCAAUCGGAAUUCUUGGUGUAGCGGUGAAAUGCGUAGAUAUCAAGAGGAACACCUGAGGCGAAGGCGGGUUGCUAGGCUGACACUGACGCUGAGGCGCGAAAGCUAGGGUAGCAAACGGGAUUAGAUACCCCGGUAGUCCUAGCCCUAAACGAUGAAUACUUGGUGUCUGGAGUUUUUAUCCU
Molecule: ribosomal RNA, 793 nt
Filed under: uncultured Acidobacteriota bacterium
Lineage: Bacteria; Pseudomonadati; Acidobacteriota
Description: bacterial SSU rRNA
Rfam family: Bacterial small subunit ribosomal RNA
Source: RNAcentral